This 512-nucleotide ribosomal RNA is filed under the name uncultured bacterium. RNAcentral describes it as "partial 16S ribosomal RNA". It matches the Rfam family "Bacterial small subunit ribosomal RNA", at positions 28 to 507 of the family's 1533-position model. The record is from RNAcentral.
GAUGAACGCUGGCGGCGUGCCUAAUACAUGCAAGUCGAACGAAACUUCUUUAUCACCGAGUGCUUGCAUUCACCGAUAAAGAGUUGAGUGGCGAACGGGUGAGUAACACGUGGGCAACCUGCCCAAAAGAGGGGGAUAACACUUGGAAACAGGUGCUAAUACCGCAUAACCAUAGUUACCGCAUGGUAACUAUGUAAAAGGUGGCUAUACUACCGCUUUUGGAUGGGCCCGCGGCGCAUUAGCUAGUUGGUAGGGUAAAGGCUUACCAAGGCAAUGAUGCGUAGCCGAAUUGAGAGGUUGAUCGGCCACAUUGGGACUGAGACACGGCCCAAACUCCUACGGGAGGCAGCAGUAGGGAAUCUUCCACAAUGGGCGAAAGCCUGAUGGAGCAACGCCGCGUGGGUGAAGAAGGUCUUCGGAUCGUAAAACCCUGUUGUUAGAGAAGAAAGUGCGUGAGAGUAACUGUUCACGUUUCGACGGUAUCUAACCAGAAAGCCACGGCUAACUACGUG